CCUACGGGUGGCUGCAGUGGGGAAUCUUCCACAAUGGGCGCAAGCCUGAUGGAGCAACGCCGCGUGAGUGAAGACGGUCUUCGGAUUGUAAAGCUCUGUCCUUAGGGAAGAACCGUGGGUAUAGCAAAUGAUACCCAUCUGACGGUACCUUUGGAGGAAGCACUGGCUAACUACGUGCCAGCAGCCGCGGUAAUACGUAGAGUGCAAGCGUUGUCCGGAAUUAUUGGGCGUAAAGGGUACGCAGGCGGAUAAUCAAGUCAAGCGUGAAAGGUGUCGGCUUAACCGACAGACUGCGUUUGAAACUGGUUAUCUUGAGUGUAACAGAGGAGAGUGGAAUUCCUAGUGUAGUGGUGAAAUACGUAGAUAUUAGGAAGAACACCAGUGGCGAAGGCGACUCUCUGGGUUAACACUGACGCUGAGGUACGAGAGCUGGGGGAGCGAACGGGAUUAGAUACCCUAGUAGUC
This 465-nucleotide ribosomal RNA is filed under the name Vibrio parahaemolyticus. RNAcentral's name for it is "bacterial SSU rRNA". It matches the Rfam family "Bacterial small subunit ribosomal RNA", at positions 338 to 795 of the family's 1533-position model. Lineage: Bacteria; Pseudomonadati; Pseudomonadota; Gammaproteobacteria; Vibrionales; Vibrionaceae. The record is from RNAcentral.